CAGGAUGAACGCUGGCGGCGUGCCUAACACGAUGCAAGUCGAACGGGUCUCUUAGUCUCGGAAGCUUCGGCCGAAGAGGUUGAGAUUAGUGGCGGACGGGUGAGUAACGCGUGGAGAACCUGCCCUGUACUGGGGGAUAACAGGUGAAGAAAUCACUGCGUAAUACCGCAUAAGCGCACGAAGCCGCAUGGCUUCGUGUGAAAAAACUCCGGUGGUACAGGGAUGGCUCCGCGUUGGACUUAGCCAGUUGGCGGGGUAACGGCCCACCAAAGCGACGAUCCAUAGCCGGCCUGAGAGGGUGAACGGCCACAUUGGGACUGAGACACGGCCCAGACUCCUACGGGAGGCAGCAGUGGGGAAUAUUGCACAAUGGGGGAAACCCUGAUGCUAAGCGACGCCGCGUGAAGGAUGAAGUAUCUCGGUAUGUAAACUUCUAUCAGCAGGGAAGAUGAUGACGGUACCUGACUAAGAAGCCCCGGCUAACUACGUGCCAGCCGCCGC
Molecule: ribosomal RNA, 501 nt
Filed under: uncultured bacterium
Lineage: Bacteria
Description: bacterial SSU rRNA
Rfam family: Bacterial small subunit ribosomal RNA
Source: RNAcentral